Molecule: ribosomal RNA, 325 nt
Filed under: uncultured eukaryote
Lineage: Eukaryota
Description: partial 18S ribosomal RNA
Rfam family: Eukaryotic small subunit ribosomal RNA
Source: RNAcentral
CCCCUAGACGUUCUGGGCCGCACGCGCGCUACACUGAUGCAUUCAACGAGCCUAUCCUUGACCGACAGGUCCGGGUAAUCUUUGAAUCUGCAUCGUGACGGGGAUAGAUUAUUGCAAUUAUUAAUCUUCAACGAGGAAUGCCUAGUAGGCGCAAGUCAUCAGCUUGCGUCGAUUACGUCCCUGCCCUUUGUACACACCGCCCGUCGCUCCUACCGAUUGGGUGUGCUGGUGAAAUGUUCGGAUCGGCCGUUUGUCGCGGUUUCCGCGUCAUGUGGCUGAGAAGUUCAUUAAACCCUCCCACCUAGAGGAAGGAGAAGUCGUAACA